Molecule: long non-coding RNA, 729 nt
Organism: Prunus avium (sweet cherry)
Lineage: Eukaryota; Viridiplantae; Streptophyta; Magnoliopsida; Rosales; Rosaceae
Source: RefSeq, a predicted model, not a curated record
AGCCGUCGAAAUGAAAUCAUGGUUAGUUAGCAGCAAUUAUAAGCCAGAGUGGCCGUUUUUAUAAAAUUAAAAUAUAUUUUUUGUGUGUAAAAGAUUCUCCUCGUCCCACUGUCGUUUUAGGCUUUUGCUCUCUUUCUAUAUAAAUCUGGGACUGAAGAGUUACAAAGCCACCCUCAUUUGGCUGAAAACUUUGUAUUGGAGUUGGAGAAGAGACCCAUUAGGGCAUACCAUAGUGGGGGGCACAGAGAGAGAGAGAGAGAAAGCUGUGUUUGGGAAGUGGGAAAUUUUUUACAGCUUGUAGAAAAUGGAGAUGUUGAAAGUUCAAUUUUUUGCGAUGGCAAUUUGUGCCCUUGUUAUCUCUCUGCUUCUCCCCUCCAUCAAUGCUCAAACCCUUGCACCUACCCCUGCCCCUACAAGUGAUGGGGUAGCAGUGGACCAAGGAAUUGCUUAUGUGCUGAUGGUAUUGGCUCUGCUCCUCACCUACAUCAUCCAUUAGAGACCCCAUUUUUGGAGAAAGAUGAAAUAUAGAGAAGAGAAAAAUUCAAGAAAAAUUGUGAAGUGAAAUUGUUGCAUCAUUAUCAUGUUAGGCUUUGCUUGCUAGCCUAUGUUGCUCUUGUUGCUAAUUUGUUAUUACCAUCUUUAUCAAAUCCCCUAUUCUUUUUUCAAUUUCAAGAUUCAUUCAUUUCCAUAUCCUCUCUCUGUUCACAUAAUGUUAUUUUCUCUCUCUCU